GGGACAGGGCUGUGUCUAUCAGCUUUUACUCCCAAAACGUUUUUCUUUAAUUUAUCCUUAACAGAAUUCGCAAAUACAUUUAUAGAAUCAAGUGGCAAAGAACAUAUUUAAAAAGUGAUCAAAACACUCUAUCUGUUACAAGAAUAAGCCAAAAAGUAAGCCAGAAAUAGCAGGUUCUGGCAAUGUCACAUAGGCAAAGAAAGACCUUGUCUGAUAGAUGGAUGAUAAAAAUAUAUACAAUUUAUAGGUUAUUGUUUUGCUGGCAUUUAUUUACAGAAUUGUUUAUACAGAAAAAGUGUAAUAAUACCCUAGAGUUGAUAAUGUUCUAUAUAUUGAGUACAGAGUUGA
Molecule: long non-coding RNA, 348 nt
Organism: Bombus impatiens (common eastern bumble bee)
Lineage: Eukaryota; Metazoa; Arthropoda; Insecta; Hymenoptera; Apidae
Exons: 2
Source: RefSeq, a predicted model, not a curated record